GACGAACGCUGGCGGCGUGCUUAACACAUGCAAGUCGAACGGAAAGGCCCUGCUUUUGUGGGGUGCUCGAGUGGCGAACGGGUGAGUAACACGUGAGUAACCUGCCCUUGACUUUGGGAUAACUUCAGGAAACUGGGGCUAAUACCGGAUAGGAGCUCCUGCUGCAUGGUGGGGGUUGGAAAGUUUCGGCGGUUGGGGAUGGACUCGCGGCUUAUCAGCUUGUUGGUGGGGUAGUGGCUUACCAAGGCUUUGACGGGUAGCCGGCCUGAGAGGGUGACCGGCCACAUUGGGACUGAGAUACGGCCCAGACUCCUACGGGAGGCAGCAGUGGGGAAUAUUGCACAAUGGGCGGAAGCCUGAUGCAGCAACGCCGCGGGCGGGAGGACGGCCUUCGGGUUGUAAACCGCUUUCGCCUGUGACGAAGCGUGAGUGACGGUAAUGGGUAAAGAAGCACCGGCUAACUACGUG
Molecule: ribosomal RNA, 468 nt
Filed under: uncultured bacterium
Lineage: Bacteria
Description: partial 16S ribosomal RNA
Rfam family: Bacterial small subunit ribosomal RNA
Source: RNAcentral